RNAcentral lists this long non-coding RNA (773 nucleotides) under Nicotiana benthamiana. RNAcentral describes it as "long non-coding RNA (NBEN_LNC025788)". The record is from RNAcentral. Lineage: Eukaryota; Viridiplantae; Streptophyta; Magnoliopsida; Solanales; Solanaceae.
AUUUUUUGAUCAGUCAAAGAGAACAAAGCAAAUGAAAAUGAACAAUGACAAUUUGUUGCAGCACUCUAUUCAAUAUCGGAUUCCCCUUAUUCAAGCACCACUGUAAGCUAAGCUUUUUAGCGGGCACUGGUAUUGACUAAAUGAAAGAUAACGGCUUGAUAGUCAAGCUUGGUAGUCCGGUCAGAUGGUCCCGAGUUAGACUUUCCAAGAUAUCCUAGCUCGUAAGUAUACCCGAAACGAGAAAGAAUAGAGACUAAAACCUAGUCAGGACCUGCACUCGCCUCUACUAGGAGGGGAUUCAUGAUGGUGGAUGUCCCUUCUUUCACUUCAGAAAAGGAGGUCCUCGAAUCCACCCACAUUAUCAUUUAGCAGAGAAGCAAGCAUACUUCAAUCAAUCGCGAGAACAGCCCCUCUUAGGUAAGCAAGUAAAUUAUUAGGUAAAGGAUUUAUUUUAGUUAUGCGCUCACUAACACAACCUCAAGAUUAAGCACGGUUAGGACAUUUUCACUACAUAUUUUCAAGUAAGAGAUAUGUUAUGCCGAAUAAGCUUAGCUUAGAAAUUCUAUUUGAAAUAGAAGAGGUGUAAACAGAACUCCCAGGAAAAGAUCUAUAGUUAACCCUACUAUACUUACUAUAUAAAGCGGGUAAGAACUACGCACCCUUUAUCCUUUCCCCUCGCUCUUAACUUCUGUCUGCCCUAGCCCUUUCUUCCUGGAGGGGAACUUAAACACUAUCUUUAUAUGUCCGGGCACUCCUUAUUAGCACUACCAACA